UUUGGAUUUCAUAUAAAUGCUGGCAUCUGCCGGGCAUUUCUGGAGGAAAGGACUGGACUGGUCCUGCUGAUACUUUCUUGAGGAUUUGAUCUGGUGCAUUUUCUUGAUCUCUUUGGAGGAGUUGGAGAGGGGGAGAGGAAGCUCACUAUAUUUCUUCCUGUUACUCUACCAUUUUGGCUUUGUGUUCCUUUCAUAGACCAUUCAAGACACUGAAGGAUACCCAGGCAUGAUAUACAAGCUCCUGACUAUCUUCCCUGAAUAUACGGCAGUGGGUUCCUUACAACUCUGGGACCCAUCACUAUCCCAAGUUCAGUGUGGGUUGCCUUAGGGUACUCAUGGUUAUGUAUGAAGUUGUGUAGCCAUCAGCUGUGAUCAAAUAAACCCAACCACAUUCUUGGAA
Trichosurus vulpecula (common brushtail) is the source of this 400-nucleotide long non-coding RNA. RefSeq lists it as uncharacterized. The record is from RefSeq and is a predicted model, not a curated record. The transcript is spliced from 2 exons. Lineage: Eukaryota; Metazoa; Chordata; Mammalia; Diprotodontia; Phalangeridae.